UGAGGAAUAUUGGUCAAUGGGCGAGAGCCUGAACCAGCCAAGUAGCGUGCAGGAAGACGGCCCUAUGGGUUGUAAACUGCUUUUGUAUGGGGAUAAAGUCAAUCACGUGUGAUUGUUUGCAGGUACCAUACGAAUAAGGACCGGCUAAUUCCGUGCCAGCAGCCGCGGUAAUACGGAAGGUCCGGGCGUUAUCCGGAUUUAUUGGGUUUAAAGGGAGCGUAGGCUGGAGAUUAAGUGUGUUGUGAAAUGUAGACGCUCAACGUCUGACUUGCAGCGCAUACUGGUUUCCUUGAGUACGCACAACGUUGGCGGAAUUCGUCGUGUAGCGGUGAAAUGCUUAGAUAUGACGAAGAACUCCGAUUGCGAAGGCAGCUGACGGGAGCGCAACUGACGCUGAAGCUCGAAGGUGCGGGUAUCGAACAGGAUUAGAUACCCUGGUAGUCCGCACAGUAAACGAUGGAUGCCCGCUGUUGGUACCUGGUAUCAGCGGCUAAGCGAAAGCAUUAAGCAUCCCACCUGGGGAGUACGCCGGCAACGGUG
This 540-nucleotide ribosomal RNA is filed under the name uncultured bacterium. Its description in RNAcentral is "bacterial SSU rRNA". It matches the Rfam family "Bacterial small subunit ribosomal RNA", at positions 355 to 896 of the family's 1533-position model. The record is from RNAcentral.